UCCCUGGUGGCUCAGAUGGUAAAGCAUCUGCCCGCAAUGCGGGAGACCCUGGUUCAAUCUCUAGGUCAGGAAG
Molecule: non-coding RNA, 73 nt
Organism: Ovis aries (sheep)
Lineage: Eukaryota; Metazoa; Chordata; Mammalia; Artiodactyla; Bovidae
Source: Rfam